RNAcentral lists this long non-coding RNA (2926 nucleotides) under Ananas comosus (pineapple). RNAcentral's name for it is "long non-coding RNA (ACOM_LNC008197)". Lineage: Eukaryota; Viridiplantae; Streptophyta; Magnoliopsida; Poales; Bromeliaceae. The record is from RNAcentral.
GCAGGGCGGCGGAGCGGACGCGGGCGAGGGCGGCGCGGAUGGCGGAGAUCAGGGUCGGGUUGAGGCGGUGCUCUUCGCCGCCCGUUAUGGUUAGCACAUAGACCCGGCCACGCUUCUCCAAGGUGCACAUCUCUCUCUCUAACUCGUCUCUCUCUCUCUGCGAUAUGUAUGUGUGGAGAUGUUCGGGGAAUGCUCCAAUGGUCAUCCGAGUAUUUUAUGCUUUUUCCCGUUAGUGCGUGGACGUAGCUUUGACAUUAUCGGAGAGACGCAGUACAGUGUAUUGAACGUAGCUCUUGCAACUAUGUAUCCGAAUUUAAAUUCCGAAUUUAAUUUGAUAAGUUUGAGGCUACAAUUUUAACUGUAGCACCUAAAAUGAGUAACUUUAAAUAAAAAUAUAAGCCUAUCUUCUUAAUUACUUUUUAAGCUAAGAAUAUAUAUCUUUUACAUUGUAGAUAAUCUCAUUAUUAUUAUAUAUAUAAAGUGAUAAUAUUAUACAAAUAAACUUUUCAACUUCAAACAAUCAAUAAAUUAUAUAUAAUUAUAAUAUUUUUUAUUGUAUCCAUUCAUAUAAAAAAGCAUGUAGCUGUAAUUAUUGCAUCUCCAGCUAUACCAUAUUUUUAAUUAUUUUAAACUAAAUGUUCCCUCAGCUCAGCGCAUCGAUGGAGUACUACUUAGCAAACUUAUUUAUAUAUAUAACAAAUUAAGGAGAAAAUUAUUAAGAAAACACUAAAGUGUGUACUUAAAAAAAGAUUAUAGUUCUACGCCUUUCAAUCUAAGAGUCACUAGGAUUUACUCGAGAAUUUUGGUAGAAUAAAGAAAAAGGCUAAGACAGUAUAAUUACUUCUUAGAUAAUAGAGUGACAGAAGUAGUCAAAAUUAUUUUUUUGUUAUUCGGAUUAAAAUUGAAAGAGAGAAAAGAAAAAAAAAUAGAGAGAAAAUAAUUUUACUUAAAAGAUUAACUCCUUUUCUCUCCAAAAGUAGAAAGAAAUGGGAAGAAAUUUAUUUUUCUCCAUUUUUUUUUAUUUUCUUCGUCCAAAUAAUAAGAAAGAUUUUUUUUUUUCCUCUUUUCUCUCCUAUUCUCGCCUUGGAAGCAAAGCUUUUUUUAUAAUUCUACAAAAAUUUAUCAACAUAUCUACGGAAUAAUUAAUAACGGCAUCAUAUUAGUUAAAGCUAUAUAUAUCACUUUUGUUUCUUUAUUUUCACUUCCCAAGUUCCAGAAAUCGAGAAUAUGGUGGAAGAAAUCAGGUCAAACAAAAAAAUCAAGCAAUCUUAUUAGAUUAGACAAGAAAAGAGUUACAUGAUCUUGUUACCUGACUAGGCAACAGUAUUUAAUUCGGUUAAAGACAAAAAUAGAUAUAAUUUUGAAUGUAGAAUAUUUUUGUUUUGCAAAACAUUAAUAUUAGCAAUCACCUCUUUAAAAAAUUUGACUUGGUUGAAAAACCCGAGUGAAGUACGUACAUCUAUUUGCCUAAUGGAUCAUCUUGUCUGGACGAUUUGAGGUACUUCAAAAGCAAUUUUUGAGAGGUUGGCGUUUACAACGGAUAGAGUAGAUCCUGGUGAUUUCUUUUUAGGGAUGAGCAGAGCAUCCCCCUCUUCUCCCUCAGGAGUCUAGUUCAGGGUUUAGUGCAACUUAGGGGUGUUUGGAUUGGCGAAUCUGUAAAUCCAACGUAACUCAAAUGUAAUGAUGUUUGAGUUUUUCUGAAGUGUUAUUAUUUUUCUGUUGUUUGUUUUGACGUAAAUCGUACAGUUCGAAAGUUAAGUUUAAUUACUUCUUCUAUUUGUUUUGAUAUAACUUGGUGUUGAUGAAAUUAGUUUUUUGAGUUUUAUUAUUUGUUUUGAUAUAAGUAAGUGAAUCCCGUUAUCUCCUAAAUAUAGUGAUAAACUUACCGCUAUAAAAUUUAACUUAUUAUUUGAUUAAAUUUUUUAUUAUUAUUUAAAGAUGAUCCUAAUUUAUAUUUAUUAUAAAUAAGUUUGUUCUAACCCAUUAUAAAGGGAGUAUAAUUUAAGUUUUACUAUUUAAUAAUUUUUUUAGAAAAGAUUGAGUGUGGCGGAAGCCGAAUUCGCCAAUUUAAAGGAGGAAGUCGAAAGUAGGUAAAGUGGAGAUCUACCGUAUCUUGAGUUACCGUAUCUUGAGUUAUAUUAUAUUUUUGAUUUACACCAAAAUAAAUAAUGGAGGUGAUGGAACUUGACUCCACUUACACCAAAACAAACGGACCUUUGAAAAAUUGGAGAUUCAUUUUUUAUUUUUCAUUUUUCAUUUUUUUUUUCUUUUAUGAAGAAAAUCAACUAUAGUUGAAUAGUUUUGUUGUUUUAUGUGCUUGUGAUGUGAAAGAAAUUGGAUUGUAAACAGGGUAUGUUGCUGCUAUUGUUGUAACUUGUAAGUCGACUCUGUAAGCAUGUUAAAUCUGAAUUAGAUGUGUUUUUCCUCCCAGCAGAUAAAGCCUUGAUUGAAUUAACAAAACGCUUGUGAGCUUGUUAUGGUAAGAAGCUUAGAUGAGUUUCAAGGCUAUUCCUGUUGAAAAGUUGCUGGCAGAGGCUUAGUGAGAAAGCCACAGGUCCCAAAGCCAUGCAGGAUAAGAGACUCUUCAUUUGAUUUCUAUCUUCUUGUCAUGCGAAACAAUCAACAUUCGCGAACCAAAGUGUCAGGAGGUAAUUUGCACUCGCAAAAUAGCUUUUUAUUAGAGCCGAACAAUAAAUAAUUUUUUUCGAGACUUUUGUUUUCAACUCUAGAUAAAAGGUUGUCAGAAUUUAUUUGAAAUGGCUUCUGGGCCAUACAAUAACAUACCUUUGCUUCUGACAAUUGAGCUCAGAGCCUCGAACCCGCCGCCCCCUUCUUCUCCUUCUCCUCCUGGUCUUCGUCCCCGUCCCCGCCCCCUUUCUCGGCCACCGCUCUCCACAUCUCCGGGAAAACCCCUUUCCGAGCGGAC